AGAGAGUGUAUGUUUCAUAGUGGUGUGAAAGGGUUGAGCAACGAAUGAGGUUUUUUUAGUCCUAGGAAUUUGAGAAGAUUUGUCCAAAUUGGUGAUGAAAUCCAAGCUGCUCGAUUUCUUCUCGGACAUGGAUGAGCCCCUCAGGUAUGACAGAUCUCUCAGAGGAUCUCUGCCAGCAUGAAAAGUUCAUGUUCCAGUGAGGAGGCUCACCAUCACCUACGUCAUGUUACUUAGGAAUUAUAUACUGAGUUUGAUUGUGUUUCAAGAUAUUGAGUGUCCGUAAGAAUUUGAAACAGGCUACAGAUCAAUUUACUUUGAAAUUACGCAUGGGGCCGAUCCUCGCCUCCUCGGUGGUUAGAGUGAUUCUAUCUCGCAUGAUGAUUCCAGUACAUAUUGCAGGGGAGUAUAUAUUGUAUGUUUCAUGCUUUAGUUUUAAGUUUGAGGAGAGGUACAGAAGAAGGUUACAUAUAUUGCAGCUUCUUUGACUUCACAAUACUGAUAAAAAACUGCGCCCUCCGAUUCAUAAUAUUUUUCCCUAAUAUGGAUGUAUCUAGAACUAAAUGUGUCUAGAUACAUCUAUAUUGGCGACAAUUAAUAUGAAUCGGAGGGACUACUGUCAUUUUUCAAUUCGCUAGGUGUCCCUUUUUUUUACUUUAAUUUUCUUAGGGGUAGAUUACCAACUACUAAUUUAGUUUCUGAAAAUGGAAAUCGGAAGGCAACCUCUUUUUCAGAAAACCAAACAACUGUGGAAUAUAGAAGGGGAAUAUAGAUUCAUAUGUAUUUGAUUCAUGACUUCAUUGCAAGUUCUCAGUCCUGAACCCACAUUAUUCUACCAGCAAACCCUGUAUAAGCAUGUAGGUUGCUUGAUUUUAGUGAAGAAAGAAAACAUAUUUGAAACUCCACAUUCCGGCCAAUAAAUAUUUCACAAUUUUCUAUAGAGGCCACAUUUUGCGGUUAUGAUUUCCUGAAAUUGCACCAUUUUCUACAGGCCUGUUCAAGGGAACACGUUUAGGAUGUGGCAAGUAACUUAGUUUCUACACUUGUAUGGCGACGAGAGGUCAUGGUGAUUUAUUAUUUUGCAUUCUGCGAGUUUUUUACUAUUUAGCAUAUAUAUGUAGUAUUUUCCAGUAUUAUGGUUAUCUAACCAAGAAGGUUUACAUUGCCUUUCAAGUAGUUGCAUUGUCAUGAUAACUUGUUGUGAGUCAAGUCUCUGCUUUUCUUUUUCAGUAAAAUCUCUUGCUCGGUAAUGCAUUUAAGAAGAAAAUAGGAAAUACCCCUCUACAAUUACUCUCAUAAUAACUAAUAGCCACUACCCUGUGAAACAUGCAUCAGCUCGGGCAAUGAAUUAUCUUUUCGAGAAUAUAGGCAAUGAAUUAUCAUGCAGUCCCGUGCAUCUUUCUUAAUUCCCGUGCAUCUUUCUUAAUUCCAGUUUCAAAACAUCUUUCUUAAUUGUAGAGGGGAAAUACCCCUCUACAAUUACUCUCAUAAUAAUUAAUAGCCACUACCCUGUGAAACAUGCAUCAGCUCGGGCAAUGAAUUAUCUUUUCGAGAAUAUAGGCAAUGAAUUAUCAUGCAGUCCCGUGCAUCUUUAUUAAUUCCAGUUUCAAAACAUUUUUCAGAUUCAUGUAUGGUUUUUCUCAUCAAAUAUCAAGCAGGGCACUGCAAAGAGAACAGAAACCCAUCUCCACGGCAUGAAGACUGGUGUGUUGGGAAAUGCUCCAUGUUGAAAUUGAAACUUUUCAU
Non-coding RNA from Lolium perenne, 1743 nucleotides. The record is from RefSeq and is a predicted model, not a curated record. Lineage: Eukaryota; Viridiplantae; Streptophyta; Magnoliopsida; Poales; Poaceae.